CCUACGGGUGGCAGCAACCGGGAAUAUUGCGCAAUGGACGAAAGUCUGACGCAGCGACGCCGCGUGCGGGAUGAAGGCCUUCGGGUCGUAAACCGCUGUGGAGAGGGAUGAAAUUUGACAGUACCUCUCUAGAAAGCACCUGCUAACUACGUGCCAGAAGCCUCGGUAAUACGUAGGGUGCAAGCGUUAUCCGGAUUUAUUGGGCGUAAAGAGUCUGUAGGCGGCAUGGCAAGUGGUGGGUUAAAGACCUAGGCUUAACUUAGGGAAAGCUCAUCAAACUGCCAAGCUAGAGCUAGUUCGGGGAUACUGGAAUUCUCAGUGGAGGGGUGAAAUCCGUUGAUAUUGAGAAGAACGCCAAAGACGAAGGUAAGUAUCUAGGACUUGGCUGACGCUCAGAGACGAAAGCUAGGGUAGCAAACUGGAUUAGAUACCCGGGUAGU
This 440-nucleotide ribosomal RNA is filed under the name uncultured bacterium. RNAcentral's name for it is "bacterial SSU rRNA". It matches the Rfam family "Bacterial small subunit ribosomal RNA", at positions 338 to 794 of the family's 1533-position model. The record is from RNAcentral.